CUCAUGCUGCAGAAUCAUUGAUGGCU
This 26-nucleotide unclassified non-coding RNA is filed under the name Mus musculus (house mouse). RNAcentral's name for it is "oocyte_clustered_small_RNA8875". Lineage: Eukaryota; Metazoa; Chordata; Mammalia; Rodentia; Muridae. The record is from RNAcentral.